RNAcentral lists this long non-coding RNA (446 nucleotides) under Nicotiana benthamiana. RNAcentral's name for it is "long non-coding RNA (NBEN_LNC036565)". The record is from RNAcentral. Lineage: Eukaryota; Viridiplantae; Streptophyta; Magnoliopsida; Solanales; Solanaceae.
CCUCUUAAUAUUUUCUUUGAUUUUCUAUCGGUUCCCCUUUCUUUCAAAAAACAAUCCCAAUAUAUUGAAACCCUAGAAAUUCGGUUCUUGUUCUCCAAUCAAUCAAUAAAAUCGCUUCAAAUCCCGUAUCUUCAAUUUUCUCUUAAAAAAGGAUAAAAUUUUUUACGAAUAGAAGCCGUGGAUUCAGUUAUAUCCUAAUCCAACCACUCCUAGUUAUUCAAAAUUCAUCCAAAGAAAACAAAAAUGUGUGAGGUAGAAUGAGGAACAUUCGUGUGACAGAGGUCAUUAUAGAUUCGGGUGAGUGGAAGGAAUAUCAAAGGAAGGGACUAUGUAGGUGAGUGAACUCGCUUGAGUUUGGGUGAGUUUGGGGUGGAGAUUAAGUGGCAAUGGCGUAGGCGAAAAUAGGAGUCACGGCUGGUCUUUAGGAUCGGGUCUGGGGAAGAUUA